This 254-nucleotide ribosomal RNA is filed under the name uncultured bacterium. RNAcentral's name for it is "partial 16S ribosomal RNA". It matches the Rfam family "Bacterial small subunit ribosomal RNA", at positions 524 to 776 of the family's 1533-position model. The record is from RNAcentral.
UACGUAGGGUGCAAGCGUUAAUCGGAAUUACUGGGCGUAAAGCGUGCGCAGGCGGUCUGUUAAGACCGAUGUGAAAUCCCCGGGCUUAACCUGGGAACUGCAUUGGUGACUGGCAGGCUUUGAGUGUGGCAGAGGGAGGUAGAAUUCCACGUGUAGCGGUGAAAUGCGUAGAGAUGUGGAGGAAUACCGAUGGCGAAGGCAGCCUCCUGGGCCAACACUGACGCUCAUGCACGAAAGCGUGGGGAGCAAACAGG